Anopheles funestus (African malaria mosquito) is the source of this 2371-nucleotide long non-coding RNA. RefSeq lists it as uncharacterized. The record is from RefSeq and is a predicted model, not a curated record. Lineage: Eukaryota; Metazoa; Arthropoda; Insecta; Diptera; Culicidae. The transcript is spliced from 3 exons.
CCACUAGCUGUAGCCUUAUGAAAUUUUCGAGUAGAAAUUUUUUUUAAUAUUUUUUCGUUAUUUUUUAUUCUUUUCUUCUUUUAAAGCAUUAUUUGAGUGAAAAGAAACUAGUUGCCGCAUUAAAAUAUAUCACAUUUAUAAAUUUUGCGAUAUUACUAUACAAAAAGCCUAAGUCUAUAUAGCCUUAGGAGAUUGGCAUAUUUAUAGAAACAUCUGAGACAUCUAUACAGACAUACAGACAUCUGGGGACAUGGCCGUCGAAGAAGAAAAUGUAGCCCUUGGUGUCAUCUAUCGACCACAGGUUAUAGAUUGGCGAUCUGUUGGAUACCAAUCGAGUUAUAGGCAAAAAUUGGUGCAAAAAUGAGCCUUUUGAACUGUUAAAAUUUUUAUAUUUUUUUUUAUUUUUUUCUGAUUUUUUUUUAAUUUAAAACAUUAAUCGAGUGAAAAUAAACUUAUUUGCACCAAUUGGCAUUAAAAUAAAUCAAUUUAAAUUUUUUUGCAAAAUUUCUCAAAAAAAUGGCAAGGGGUACCCCUUAUGAAAUUUUCGAGUUGAAAAUUUUUUAAAAUUUUUUUUCUGAUUUUUUAUUCUUUUUUAAAUUUAAAGCACUAUUUAAGUGAAAAGAAACUUAUUGCAACAAAAUUCGCAUUAAAAUAUACCACAUUUUUCAAUUUUGCUAAAUUACUCAAAAAUGAGGAAAUUUUACAUUUUCUCAAACAAGGUAAGGAACUUGGUUCCUCGAAUAACUUCUGGCACAGACAUCUGAGGGCAAGGCCGUCCAAGAAGAAAAUGUAGCCAUUGUUGCCAUCUAUCGACCACAGGUUAAAGAUUGGUGAUCCGUUGGAUACCGACCGAGUUAUAGGCAAAAGUUGGUGCAAAAAUGAGGAAAAUUUUACAUUUUCUCAAACAGGGUAAGGAACUUGGUUCCUCGAAUAACUUCUGGCACAGACAUCUGAGGGCAAGGCCGUCCAAGAAGAAAAUGUACCCAUUAUUGCCAUCUAUCGACCACAGGUUAAAGAUUGGCGAUCCGUUGGAUACCGACCGAGUUGUAGGCAAAAUUUGGUGCAAAAAUGAGUCUUAUGAAAUUUUCUAAUUUUUAUAUUUUUUCCAUUUUUUUAGAUUUUUUACUCUUUUUUUAAUUUUAAGCAUUAUUUGAGUGAAAAGAAACUCAUUGCAACCAAUUGGCAUUAAAAUAAAUCAAUUUAAUUUUUUUUGCAAAAUUUCUCAAAAAAAUGGCAAGGGGUACCCCUUAUUAAAUUUUCGAGUUAAAAAUUUUUUAAAUUUUUUUUUCUGAUUUUUUAUUCUUUUUUAAAUUUAAAGCACUAUUUAAGUGAAAAGAAACUUAUUGCAACAAAAUUCGCAUUAAAAUAUACCACAUUUUUCAAUUUUGCUAAAUUACUCAAAAAUGAGGAAAUUUUACAUUUUCUCAAACAGGGUAAGGAACUUGGUUCCUCAAAUAACUUCUGGCACAGACAUCUGAGGGCAAGGCCGUCCAAGAAGAAAAUGUAGCCAUUGUUGCCAUCUAUCGACCACAGGUUAAAGAUUGGUGAUCCGUUGGAUACCGACCGAGUUAUAGGCAAAAGUUGGUGCAAAAAUGAGGAAAUUUUACAUUUUCUCAAACAGGGUAAGGAACUUGGUUCCUCGAAUAACUUCUGGCACAGACAUCUGAGGGCAAGGCCGUCCAAGAAGAAAAUGUAGCCAUUGUUGCCAUCUAUCGACCACAGGUUAAAGAUUGGUGAUCCGUUGGAUACCGACCGAGUUAUAGGCAAAAGUUGGUGCAAAAAUGAGGAAAAUUUUACAUUUUCUCAAACAGGGUAAGGAACUUGGUUCCUCGAAUAACUUCUGUCACAGACAUCUGAGGGCAUGGCCGUCCAAGAAGAAAAUGUACCCAUUAUUGCCAUCUAUCGACCACAGGUUAAAGAUUGGCAAUCCGUUGGAUACCGACCGAGUUAUAGGCAAAAGUUGGUGCAAAAAUGAGGAAAAUUUUACAUUUUCUCAAACAGGGUAAGGAACUUGGUUCCUCGCAUAACUUCUGGCACAGACAUCUGAGGGCAAGGCCGUCCAAGAAGAAAAUGUAUCCAUUAUUGCCAUCUAUCGACCACAGGUUAAAGAUUGGCGAUCCGUUGGAUACCGACCGAGUUGUAGGCAAAAUUUGGUGCAAAAAUGAGUCUUAUGAAAUUUUCUAAUUUUUAUAUUUUUUCCAUUUUUUUAGAUUUUUUACUCUUUUUUUAAUUUUAAGCAUUAUUUGAGUGAAAAGAAACUCAUUGCAACCAAUUGGCAUUAAAAUAAAUCAAUUUAAUUUUUUUUGCAAAAUUUCUCAAAAAAAUGGCAAGGGGUACCCCUUAUUAAAUUUUCGAGUUAAAAAUUUUUUAA